GCUCUUAUGAAGUUAGCGGCGGACGGGUGAGUAACACGUGGGUAACCUGCCCAUAAGACUGGGAUAACUCCGGGAAACCGGGGCUAAUACCGGAUAACAUUUUGAACCGCAUGGUUCGAAAUUGAAAGGCGGCUUCGGCUGUCACUUAUGGAUGGACCCGCGUCGCAUUAGCUAGUUGGUGAGGUAACGGCUCACCAAGGCAACGAUGCGUAGCCGACCUGAGAGGGUGAUCGGCCACACUGGGACUGAGACACGGCCCAGACUCCUACGGGAGGCAGCAGUAGGGAAUCUUCCGCAAUGGACGAAAGUCUGACGGAGCAACGCCGCGUGAGUGAUGAAGGCUUUCGGGUCGUAAAACUCUGUUGUUAGGGAAGAACAAGUGCUAGUUGAAUAAGCUGGCACCUUGACGGUACC
Molecule: ribosomal RNA, 414 nt
Filed under: Bacillus cereus
Lineage: Bacteria; Bacillati; Bacillota; Bacilli; Caryophanales; Bacillaceae
Description: bacterial SSU rRNA
Rfam family: Bacterial small subunit ribosomal RNA
Source: RNAcentral